UUUCGCGGUAGUUGUAGAUAUUCCGACUGCNCUNUGUUCAGUUCAUGAACAUGCAUUGGGAAUUCUAAUGCACCUUAUCACUUAUAGGAAGGACAAUUCAUAACAAGGUUUCUGUAGGUGAACCUGCGGAAGGAUCAUUUG
This 141-nucleotide ribosomal RNA is filed under the name Gonyaulax turbynei. Its description in RNAcentral is "partial 18S ribosomal RNA". It matches the Rfam family "Eukaryotic small subunit ribosomal RNA", at positions 1694 to 1831 of the family's 1831-position model. The record is from RNAcentral. Lineage: Eukaryota; Dinophyceae; Gonyaulacales; Gonyaulacaceae.